CCAUGCGUCAUCAACUUUUGCAAAGAGUUAGGAAUAGGGUCGUUUCUACCCUCAACAGGCAGCCCAUUGACUUUGAAUACUUAGACUUAGUGUGUUCCCAGGAGCUGCAGUUUCUUCGAGCUGCAGCGGCUUACAUUGAUCUGGAGGAGACAGUGGUAGAGCAUUUUCAAAACCUGAGUGCAGUUGUAAGUUCUUAUGCCUCAGCUAAUGCUUCAUCCCCAAGAACUUUUAACAUAACACACGUAGAAUACAAUGGGAAUGCAGGGAGACCAAAAGUUAAUACAGAUUUUGAAACACUCACUCAUUUACUUAGUAGUGGUUUGCCUUUGACUUCUUUGUGUAGGCUUACUGGAAUUUCACGGUCAACAUUUUAUAGACGUAUGAAAGAGCAUAAUCUGUCUGUAAGAAAACUCUAUUCCAGCAUUUCAGAUGCUGCAUUAUAUCAGAAGGUUAGAUCUAUAAAGAGCAGAAUGCCAAAUGCUGGCUACAGAUUGGUGAAAGGGUCUCUUCAAGCAAUGGGUGUCAGGAUUCCCUGGAAGAGAGUGCAAAUGUCUUUGUAGCGUGUGGACGGAGCAGGAAUUAUUUCCAGAAUGGUCCAGCUGUCUUGCAUUUCCAGACGACAAUACUGUGUUCCAGCUCCAUUAUCUCUUGUCCACAUUGAUACAAAUCAUAAGCUCAUCAGGUAUAACAUUGUUGUUUUUGGAGCAAUUGAUGGCUUUUCCAGGAAGAUAUUUUACUUGAACGCGGCUGGAAACAACAAGGCAGAAACAGCGUUUUGUUUCUUCAUGGAUGGGGUUUGCAAGCAUGGAUGGCC
Molecule: non-coding RNA, 814 nt
Organism: Poecilia reticulata (guppy)
Lineage: Eukaryota; Metazoa; Chordata; Actinopteri; Cyprinodontiformes; Poeciliidae
Source: RefSeq, a predicted model, not a curated record